RNAcentral lists this ribosomal RNA (253 nucleotides) under uncultured bacterium. Its description in RNAcentral is "partial 16S ribosomal RNA". It matches the Rfam family "Bacterial small subunit ribosomal RNA", at positions 524 to 776 of the family's 1533-position model. The record is from RNAcentral.
UACGUAGGGUGCGAGCGUUAAUCGGAAUUACUGGGCGUAAAGCGUGCGCAGGCGGUUAUGUAAGACAGAUGUGAAAUCCCCGGGCUCAACCUGGGAACUGCAUUUUUGACUGCAAGGCUAGAGUACGGCAGAGGGGGAUGGAAUUCCGCGUGUAGCAGUGAAAUGCGUAGAUAUGCGGAGGAACACCAAUGGCGAAGGCAAUCCCCUGGGCCUGUACUGACGCUCAUGCACGAAAGCGUGGGGAGCAAACAGG